RNAcentral lists this ribosomal RNA (507 nucleotides) under uncultured bacterium. RNAcentral describes it as "bacterial SSU rRNA". It matches the Rfam family "Bacterial small subunit ribosomal RNA", at positions 866 to 1375 of the family's 1533-position model. The record is from RNAcentral.
AUCCCACCUGGGGAGUACGCCGGCAACGGUGAAACUCAAAGGAAUUGACGGGGCCGCGACAAGCGGAGGAACAUGUGGUUUAACUCGACGAUACGCGAGGAACUUACCCGGGUUUGAACGCAGUCUGACCGCCGAUGAAAGUCGGCUUCUAGCAAUAGCGGAUUGCGAGGUGCUGCAUGGUUGUCGUCAGCUCGUGCCGUGAGGUGUCGGCUUAAGUGCCAUAACGAGCGCAACCCUUGCCGUUAGUUACUAACAAGUAAAGUUGAGGACUCUAGCGGGACUGCCAGCGUAAGCUGUGAGGAAGGCGGGGAUGACGUCAAAUCAGCACGGCCCUUACAUCCGGGGCGACACACGUGUUACAAUGGCGUGGACAAAGAGCAGCCACUUGGUGACAAGGAGCUAAUCUCCAAACCACGUCUCAGUUCGGAUCGGAGUCUGCAACUCGACUCCGUGAAGCUGGAUUCGCUAGUAAUCGCGCAUCAGCCAUGGCGCGGUGAAUACGUUCCC